RNAcentral lists this unclassified non-coding RNA (462 nucleotides) under Hevea brasiliensis (rubber tree). The record is from RNAcentral. Lineage: Eukaryota; Viridiplantae; Streptophyta; Magnoliopsida; Malpighiales; Euphorbiaceae.
UUCGGCUACUCAGGGAUCUUGUUAAUGAGGGCAUAUUCGAUAUUAUAGUUGAUAUUUUGCAGAGCCCUGACAAAAAGCUUGUGUUGAUGGGGACAGACAUUCUGAUUCUUUUGAAUCAGGACCCAAAUCUUCUGCGGUCUCAUGUAAUUCGUCAGGAAGGUCUUACUCUUUUUGGACUUCUGGUCAGAGGUAUGCUAACAGAUUUUGGUGAUGACAUGCACUGCCAGUUUAAUGAAAUUCUUCGCAGUCUAUUAGAUUCAUAUGCGUCAGGAUUACAGAGAGACACUAUAGUUGAAAUUUUUUAUGAGAAGCACCUAACUGGAUUGGUUCAAGCUAUAACAUUAUCCUGCCCCCCAAAAGGGGAUUCACUAUCAGUCAGUGAGUCUGCAAACUCUGAUGGAGGAAAUGUGAAGCAAAGUUGUGUGAAGCCUGAAAUACUGCUAAAUAUAUGUGAAGCCUGAA